CCACUUGGAUCUGAAGGCUGCCC
RNAcentral lists this microRNA (23 nucleotides) under Homo sapiens (human). RNAcentral's name for it is "hsa-miR-3614-5p". Lineage: Eukaryota; Metazoa; Chordata; Mammalia; Primates; Hominidae. The record is from miRBase by way of RNAcentral.